GACUAACGCUGGCGGCGUGCCUAAUACAUGCAAGUCGAACGGGAUUCUUUGAUCAGUUUGCUGAGAGAAGGAUCUAGUGGCGGACGGGUGAGUAACGCGUGGGAAUCUGCCUCUUACUGGGGGAUAACAGUGGGAAACUACUGCUAAUACCGCAUAAGAUCUUCGGAUGAAAGGUGCAACUGCACCGGUAAGAGAUGAGCCCGCGUCCCAUUAGCUAGUUGGUGAGGUAAAGGCUCACCAAGGCGACGAUGGGUAGCCGGCCUGAGAGGGUGAACGGCCACACUGGGACUGAGACACGGCCCAGACUCCUACGGGAGGCAGCAGUAGGGAAUCUUCCGCAAUGGGCGCAAGCCUGACGGAGCGACGCCGCGUGAGUGAUGAAGGCCUUCGGGUCGUAAAGCUCUGUUCUUGAGGACGAAUAAGCCAGGGAGUGGAAAGCCCUGGUGAUGACUGUACUCAAGGAGAAAGCUCCGGCUAACUACGUGCC
Molecule: ribosomal RNA, 487 nt
Filed under: uncultured bacterium
Lineage: Bacteria
Description: bacterial SSU rRNA
Rfam family: Bacterial small subunit ribosomal RNA
Source: RNAcentral